AAGCAUAGGGUCACAUUCUUCUAUGAAACUUGCAGAUGAUAUGAACAGGCUUUUGGCCUCCGGUCUGUGGAAUGAUCAAGAAUGGCUAAUGAGAUUUUUCCAACAGAACAACACAAAGGCUACAUUUGGUAACAAACAACUUCCUUUAUUAGAGAGAGAGAGGGUUUACAUUGAUAACAGUAUUUUUGCUGCUCAGCAGGAAUCUGUGAACAAGUGCGAAAGUGCCAUGGAAAUCGAUUUUGGUUACAAAUAAAUUUUUGCAAAUAGUCAAAUAUGCAAAUAGGGAAUCUGUGAAUAACAAGAAUUGACUGUAUAUAGUAUAAGUAACGAAUUCAAAAUAUAAUAGAUGCUGCAUAUUGUGAUCAUUGGGGGAC
Molecule: long non-coding RNA, 374 nt
Filed under: Androctonus crassicauda
Lineage: Eukaryota; Metazoa; Arthropoda; Arachnida; Scorpiones; Buthidae
Source: RNAcentral